GGUUAAGCGACUAAGCGUACACGGUGGAUGCCCUGGCAGUCAGAGGCGAUGAAGGACGUGCUAAUCUGCGAUAAGCGUCGGUGAGGUGAUAUGAACCGUUAUAACCGGCGAUUUCCGAAUGGGGAAACCCAGUGUGAUUCGUCACACUAUCAUUAACUGAAUCCAUAGGUUAAUGAGGCGAACCGGGGGAACUGAAACAUCUAAGUACCCCGAGGAAAAGAAAUCAACCGAGAUUCCCCCAGUAGCGGCGAGCGAACGGGGAGCAGCCCAGAGCCUGAAUCAGUGUGUGUGUUAGUGGAAGCGUCUGGAAAGGCGCGCGAUACAGGGUGACAGCCCCGUACACAAAAAUGCACAUACUGUGAGCUCGAUGAGUAGGGCGGGACACGUGGUAUCCUGUCUGAAUAUGGGGGGACCAUCCUCCAAGGCUAAAUACUCCUGACUGACCGAUAGUGAACCAGUACCGUGAGGGAAAGGCGAAAAGAACCCCGGCGAGGGGAGUGAAAAAGAACCUGAAACCGUGUACGUACAAGCAGUGGGAGCCUCUUAAUGGGGUGACUGCGUACCUUUUGUAUAAUGGGUCAGCGACUUAUAUUCUGUAGCAAGGUUAACCGAAUAGGGGAGCCGAAGGGAAACCGAGUCUUAACUGGGCGUUAAGUUGCAGGGUAUAGACCCGAAACCCGGUGAUCUAGCCAUGGGCAGGUUGAAGGUUGGGUAACACUAACUGGAGGACCGAACCGACUAAUGUUGAAAAAUUAGCGGAUGACUUGUGGCUGGGGGUGAAAGGCCAAUCAAACCGGGAGAUAGCUGGUUCUCCCCGAAAGCUAUUUAGGUAGCGCCUCGUGAAUUCAUCUCCGGGGGUAGAGCACUGUUUCGGCAAGGGGGUCAUCCCGACUUACCAACCCGAUGCAAACUGCGAAUACCGGAGAAUGUUAUCACGGGAGACACACGGCGGGUGCUAACGUCCGUCGUGAAGAGGGAAACAACCCAGACCGCCAGCUAAGGUCCCAAAGUCAUGGUUAAGUGGGAAACGAUGUGGGAAGGCCCAGACAGCCAGGAUGUUGGCUUAGAAGCAGCCAUCAUUUAAAGAAAGCGUAAUAGCUCACUGGUCGAGUCGGCCUGCGCGGAAGAUGUAACGGGGCUAAACCAUGCACCGAAGCUGCGGCAGCGACACUAUGUGUUGUUGGGUAGGGGAGCGUUCUGUAAGCCUGUGAAGGUGUACUGUGAGGUAUGCUGGAGGUAUCAGAAGUGCGAAUGCUGACAUAAGUAACGAUAAAGCGGGUGAAAAGCCCGCUCGCCGGAAGACCAAGGGUUCCUGUCCAACGUUAAUCGGGGCAGGGUGAGUCGACCCCUAAGGCGAGGCCGAAAGGCGUAGUCGAUGGGAAACAGGUUAAUAUUCCUGUACUUGGUGUUACUGCGAAGGGGGGACGGAGAAGGCUAUGUUGGCCGGGCGACGGUUGUCCCGGUUUAAGCGUGUAGGCUGGUUUUCCAGGCAAAUCCGGAAAAUCAAGGCUGAGGCGUGAUGACGAGGCACUACGGUGCUGAAGCAACAAAUGCCCUGCUUCCAGGAAAAGCCUCUAAGCAUCAGGUAACAUCAAAUCGUACCCCAAACCGACACAGGUGGUCAGGUAGAGAAUACCAAGGCGCUUGAGAGAACUCGGGUGAAGGAACUAGGCAAAAUGGUGCCGUAACUUCGGGAGAAGGCACGCUGAUAUGUAGGUGAAGCGACUUGCUCGUGGAGCUGAAAUCAGUCGAAGAUACCAGCUGGCUGCAACUGUUUAUUAAAAACACAGCACUGUGCAAACACGAAAGUGGACGUAUACGGUGUGACGCCUGCCCGGUGCCGGAAGGUUAAUUGAUGGGGUUAGCGGUAACGCGAAGCUCUUGAUCGAAGCCCCGGUAAACGGCGGCCGUAACUAUAACGGUCCUAAGGUAGCGAAAUUCCUUGUCGGGUAAGUUCCGACCUGCACGAAUGGCGUAAUGAUGGCCAGGCUGUCUCCACCCGAGACUCAGUGAAAUUGAACUCGCUGUGAAGAUGCAGUGUACCCGCGGCAAGACGGAAAGACCCCGUGAACCUUUACUAUAGCUUGACACUGAACAUUGAGCCUUGAUGUGUAGGAUAGGUGGGAGGCUUUGAAGUGUGGACGCCAGUCUGCAUGGAGCCGGCCUUGAAAUACCACCCUUUAAUGUUUGAUGUUCUAACGUUGGCCCCUGAUCGGGGUUGCGGACAGUGUCUGGUGGGUAGUUUGACUGGGGCGGUCUCCUCCUAAAGAGUAACGGAGGAGCACGAAGGUUGGCUAAUCCUGGUCGGACAUCAGGAGGUUAGUGCAAUGGCAUAAGCCAGCUUGACUGCGAGCGUGACGGCGCGAGCAGGUGCGAAAGCAGGUCAUAGUGAUCCGGUGGUUCUGAAUGGAAGGGCCAUCGCUCAACGGAUAAAAGGUACUCCGGGGAUAACAGGCUGAUACCGCCCAAGAGUUCAUAUCGACGGCGGUGUUUGGCACCUCGAUGUCGGCUCAUCACAUCCUGGGGCUGAAGUAGGUCCCAAGGGUAUGGCUGUUCGCCAUUUAAAGUGGUACGCGAGCUGGGUUUAGAACGUCGUGAGACAGUUCGGUCCCUAUCUGCCGUGGGCGCUGGAGAACUGAGGGGGGCUGCUCCUAGUACGAGAGGACCGGAGUGGACGCAUCACUGGUGUUCGGGUUGUCAUGCCAAUGGCACUGCCCGGUAGCUAAAUGCGGAAGAGAUAAGUGCUGAAAGCAUCUAAGCACGAAACUUGCCCCGAGAUGAGUUCUCCCUGACUCCUUGAGGGUCCUGAAGGAACGUUGAAGACGACGACGUUGAUAGGCCGGGUGUGUAAGCGCAGCGAUGCGUUGAGCUAACCGGUACUAAUGAACCGUGAGGCUUAACCUU
Molecule: ribosomal RNA, 2904 nt
Filed under: Escherichia coli
Lineage: Bacteria; Pseudomonadati; Pseudomonadota; Gammaproteobacteria; Enterobacterales; Enterobacteriaceae
Description: 23S ribosomal RNA
Rfam family: Bacterial large subunit ribosomal RNA
Source: RNAcentral